Long non-coding RNA from Photinus pyralis (common eastern firefly), 2352 nucleotides. RefSeq lists it as uncharacterized. The record is from RefSeq and is a predicted model, not a curated record. Lineage: Eukaryota; Metazoa; Arthropoda; Insecta; Coleoptera; Lampyridae. The transcript is spliced from 3 exons.
AAUGAGUCGUGUUGCGAAACAUGCAUUGUACGAACCGCUCAAUUGUUUAAUAAUUAAAGUAAGGUGCGCCACUUUUCGUUGUUUUAUGUAAAAAUGAAAUGUGGAAACAACCCCCACCAAUAACUGUGAAUGGUUUGCGCUGGUAAUUAAUUGUAGGGACACACAGCUACGUUUUGUGAUUGUAUUCGAUUUUAAAAUUACCAUGGUUAAUUAUUGAGAAGCUGCUCAUCAUUUCUAAAUAGAAAUAUCGACCAUGAGCGUUGAGGUUGACUUUUCGGCAUUUUGCAAAACAUCUUACCUUGGGUAAUCUGUACGGAUUUCGUAAGGCUAAUUGCACAGUCACAGAAGCACGAAUUUCAGCCGUAGAAAUUUGGCCAUUAUAUGCAAAAAAAAACGGUAUAAUCGAGUGCAUCAGUUCCGGAAGUUCACUUCUUGAAUAUUGUUAAUGUAGAGGGCUUAACAGACAGUAGUAGGUACAGUACAAGUGCAGAGUACAGCUACCUCGACCAUUAUAAUAUAAACGCUAUAGUCUGAUGCUGAAGAGUGAAUAGGCUACUACGGCUACUAUGAAUAAACAUUUUCGAGUAAAUAAAUGAGUAGUACCUGUUCGCGACUAAAAUAGUAUACGCGACGCAACUUAACGCUUAAAAUAGUUAAUUAAGCCAACGAAAAUUAUUUUAAACCGCGUGUCGACCCGUAAACCAAAAUUCGUUUCGAUUUAAGCGGAUUUAAAAAAAUUGUGCGGUCGGACACGCACCUACAAAGGUAAGUGAAUACUUUUAAUGCAGUUGUUAGCGGUCGUCCUUGGUGUAUGUUUCCAAAAUGCCUACACCUCCGAGAUUAUCGCUUCUCUAAUUAGAAAAUCGAGGCUUGAUUUGACUACUGACCGUAAAUAUUAGUGCAAAAAUUGAAUUAAUAUGGUAAUUUAAUGCCUAGGACCGUUAUCUACAUGUAGAAAAACGGCAUUAACGCGAAAGUGAAAAAUAAGUCAAUAGUUGAAGGCAUGUCUAAACCGUCCUUUACCUUUAUUCAAAAUUAUCCUGUAACUGUACAUUUCCUUCACAAUGCUAUAUUUUAAGUGAGAGAUGUGAUUUUCGCCUCUGAGGCCAUAUGUAUUCAAUACAAUUCACAACAGGUUCUUGUCGCCUUCUAUAACAACGAUGGCACAUCCAUUGACCAUUGACCUACACCUCUAGUUUGUCCCAGUAGAGUGCAAGUGCCAACACAUUAUGCACAAAGUAACAAUUGACAAUGCUUUGUCAUUAUCAUAUUGACGUACCACCGUGUUACAUGGUUCAAACCAUUGAAUUUAAGUGUGUUAAAGUCCUUGUUCAAACCAACACAGUAAAACGCACUUGGACAAUUCGCACCAAGCAAAAUUCGCACCAAAGACAAUUCAUAUUCGAACAAUUCGCAUCCGGAUAAACCGCACCUGGAUUUCGCUCGCUCGCAUAAGAACUCUACACGUAAGGACAUCAUCCUCGAGCAUGAAUAUAUUAUUGAAUUCGUGGCAAAGCUCCAUUAAGACCUAGUACUCUUUCUGGUUAAGAUGCGAAGUUCUCAGUCCCUCGGAUAUUGUCUCCAAACGUGCCUACUCAUAUCGAUACCUUCAACCAAAAGUUCUGAGACUCUAGGGUUUGCUAUUUCUAUUAGUAUUAUCAAUAGAGAUGGUUAUAUUGUGUCUUAAUAUAAAAAAAUUCAUCUCUGUAAAAACGAAUAGUAUUUCUAAUGAGCUUUUAAUUGUUGGAUAAUUAUGAUUUUAAAGAGGGUGGCGGGAUUGAACAAAAAAUCACCGUAAAAUUUCCCUACCGACACUGAUGUUUAGUGAAAACCGUAUGAGGCUUUUUAGAUGUACUUUAAUCUGUACAGUACGAGUCACAGAGAUACAUCUAUACUUUUGGUAUACCAUAAUGGUGAAAGUGUUAUUAUUAUUGUUUCUGAGCGCGACUGAAUGACAAGAGUGGAUAGGUUAUAAACUGGUUGAUUUCUAUUUUUAAUAUUUUGUAAUAAUCGGCCAGAGCAACAGACUAAUUAGUCCAACUGGACUUUUUACAAAAGAAAAUUGUUAAUGGAGCUUUGCCAAGUGUAUAUGUUAAAAUGGUCCAUAACAAAUACAAAAAAAAUAAAUACGUGAGGAGGGGAGUGGGACUAUGUUUUGGUUUGGGGGAGGGUGAAAAGGGAUGAAAAUCGUAUGACGGCAAUUUCCGGCAAAAGUUGAUAUCAGAGACAAAAGUGUUCGAUAAGAAAGUUGUAGAUCGUGAAAACUCUACUACUUUCUUUCCAGUCACUUUCUCACAUAACGGAAAAAUCGCGGAAAACAAUGUUUUUCGUUUUUUAUUGUUCAUUGGCACA